CUGGUGGUGCAGCGGUGAAGUGUGCACAUUCUGCUUCAGCGGCCCAGGGUUCACCAGUUCAGAUCCCGGGUGCAGACACGGCACUGCUUGGCAAAAAGCCAUGAUAUGGUAGGUAUCCCACGGACAAAGUAGAGGAAGAUGGGCAUGGAUGUUAGCUCAGGGCCAGUCUUCCUCAGUAAAAAGAGGAGGAUUGGCAGCAGUUAGCUCAGGGCUAAUCUUCCUAAAAGAUUGGAAAAAAAAAUGAUUUCAAAAAUCGGGGGUGUAUUAGCAUGAACAGGCUACACCAUGCUGCAGGAACACACUUCCACCAAAUCCAUCGGCACAAGGAACAAGAGGAUACUUCUUUCUCUGGCCACAUGCCCGGCACAGGUGAGCAGGGAAUUCCACUGAUCCUAGUCACUCAAGAAUCUGUCAGGAAGCUCCAUCACUUUGUGAUGUCACCAUCUCCACAAAUGGCUUUAGGAAAGAAGGCAUGGAGAACCACAAACCCGUUAUAAAAUGCUUCUACCUAGAGAGUCAUAUGUCACUUUCUUCAGACAAUGAGACCAGAUCUUACUUCAAAUGGGGAAGGCCCCAAACUGGAAAUUCACUGAGCAGUACUGAUGUGCCCACAGAAUGAAACAGCUACAUGUGCACGCACAGCGCUUACAAAAUGGAUCAAGUGAGCUACUUCACAACUUCACACGGGAAAAACUUGCUCUUUAAAGGAGCCCUAGUAAAUUUUUUAACAAAGUGCUAUUUUUAGAUAUAGCUCAGCACAACAGGGAUGCUGUCAACAAAGUAAGAGCCUAAAAGAUGAGAUACUCUGAAGAUAAAUCAGCACAAAAAAAUGUCAGAGCAAUGAAGGACACACGGGAGACCAGACUAACGCUCUCGAGCCAUCCCUGCAUCCUCUGCUAUAGACCCUCAUUAACACAUUUGAGUGUAAGAGCUGACAGCUGCCACACAUAAAAACUGAUAGAUAAUGAA
Equus caballus (horse) is the source of this 969-nucleotide non-coding RNA. The record is from RefSeq and is a predicted model, not a curated record. Lineage: Eukaryota; Metazoa; Chordata; Mammalia; Perissodactyla; Equidae.